GGGCCCGUAGAUCAGGGGUAGAUCGUCGCGUUUGCAACGCGAAGGCCACGGGUUCGAAUCCCGUCGGGUCCA
Molecule: transfer RNA, 72 nt
Filed under: Methanospirillum sp.
Lineage: Archaea; Methanobacteriati; Methanobacteriota; Methanomicrobia; Methanomicrobiales; Methanospirillaceae
Description: tRNA-Ala
Rfam family: tRNA
About the family: Transfer RNA (tRNA) molecules are approximately 80 nucleotides in length. Their secondary structure includes four short double-helical elements and three loops (D, anti-codon, and T loops).
Source: RNAcentral